This 253-nucleotide ribosomal RNA is filed under the name uncultured bacterium. Its description in RNAcentral is "partial 16S ribosomal RNA". It matches the Rfam family "Bacterial small subunit ribosomal RNA", at positions 524 to 776 of the family's 1533-position model. The record is from RNAcentral.
UACAGAGGGUGCAAGCGUUAAUCGGAAUUACUGGGCGUAAAGCGUGCGUAGUCGGCUUUUUAAGUCGGGUGUGAAAUCCCCGGGCUCAACCUGGGAAUUGCAUUCGAUACUGGAUCGCUAGAGUUCGGCAGAGGGAAGCGGAAUUCUCGGUGUAGAGGUGAAAUUCGUAGAUAUCGAGAGGAACACCGGUGGCGAAGGCGGCUUCCUGGACAGUUACUGACGCUGAGGCACGAAAGCGUGGGGAGCAAACAGG